This 292-nucleotide ribosomal RNA is filed under the name uncultured bacterium. RNAcentral's name for it is "partial 16S ribosomal RNA". It matches the Rfam family "Bacterial small subunit ribosomal RNA", at positions 29 to 334 of the family's 1533-position model. The record is from RNAcentral.
AACGAACGCUGGCGGCAGGCCUAACACAUGCAAGUCGAGCGCUGUAGCAAUACAGAGCGGCGCACGGGUGAGUAACACGUGGGAACGUGCCCAACGGUUUGGGAUAACUCAGGGAAACUUGAGCUAAUACCGGAUACGCCCCUCAUUGGAGACAAUGUGGGGGAAAGAUUUAUCGCCGAUGGAGCGGCCCGCGUCCGAUUAGCUUGUUGGUGAGGUAAAAGCUCACCAAGGCGACGAUCGGUAGCUGGUUUGAGAGAACGAUCAGCCACACUGGGACUGAGACACGGCCCAG